GUGGGGAAUUUUGGACAAUGGGCGCAAGCCUGAUCCAGCAAUGCCGCGUGCAGGAAGAAGGCCUUCGGGUUGUAAACUGCUUUUGUACGGAACGAAAAGGCUCUGGUUAAUACCUGGGGCUCAUGACGGUACCGUAAGAAUAAGCACCGGCUAACUACGUGCCAGCAGCCGCGGUAAUACGUAGGGUGCAAGCGUUAAUCGGAAUUACUGGGCGUAAAGCGUGCGCAGGCGGUUUUGUAAGACAGAGGUGAAAUCCCCGGCUCAACCUGGGAAUUGCGCUUGUGACUGCAGUGCUGGAGUGCGGCAGAGGGGGAUGGAAUUCCGCGUGUAGCAGUGAAAUGCGUAGAUAUGCGGAGGAACACCGAUGGCGAAGGCAAUCCCCUGGGCCUGCACUGACGCUCAUGCACGAAAGCGUGGGGAGCAAACAGGAUUAGAAACCCCAGUAGUCC
This 449-nucleotide ribosomal RNA is filed under the name uncultured bacterium. RNAcentral describes it as "partial 16S ribosomal RNA". It matches the Rfam family "Bacterial small subunit ribosomal RNA", at positions 354 to 796 of the family's 1533-position model. The record is from RNAcentral.